RNAcentral lists this ribosomal RNA (226 nucleotides) under uncultured bacterium. RNAcentral's name for it is "partial 16S ribosomal RNA". It matches the Rfam family "Bacterial small subunit ribosomal RNA", at positions 28 to 245 of the family's 1533-position model. The record is from RNAcentral.
GAUGAACGCUAGCUACAGGCUUAACACAUGCAAGUCGAGGGGCAGCAUGAACUUAGCUUGCUAAGUUUGAUGGCGACCGGCGCACGGGUGAGUAACACGUAUCCAACCUUCCGUUUACUCAGGGAUAGCCUUUCGAAAGAAAGAUUAAUACCUGAUAGUAUGGUGAGAUUGCAUGAUAGCACCACUAAAGAUUUAUUGGUAAACGAUGGGGAUGCGUUCCAUUAGG